CUGGUUUCUCUGUCAACAUGGCCAAUGUCUACCUUUUUUCUUUUCCACUCACUCACUCCUUUUCUCUCUUUUCCUUUUUGCCCUCUGCUCCCGUCCAAGCUCUCUGUGAGGCCCCCAGAAACCAACCUGCUCUUGCUGAUCUCCUCUCUCAAGGCCUCUUCUUGUAUUCACCUCUUUUCCCUCCUGAGAUUCAAUAAACAUUUGCAGCAUC
Molecule: long non-coding RNA, 211 nt
Organism: Cygnus olor (mute swan)
Lineage: Eukaryota; Metazoa; Chordata; Aves; Anseriformes; Anatidae
Exons: 2
Source: RefSeq, a predicted model, not a curated record